This 569-nucleotide long non-coding RNA is filed under the name Vigna radiata. RNAcentral's name for it is "long non-coding RNA (VRAD_LNC001851)". The record is from RNAcentral. Lineage: Eukaryota; Viridiplantae; Streptophyta; Magnoliopsida; Fabales; Fabaceae.
UAAUCGAUUAUAGCUUGUCCAUAAUCGAUUAUUCAAGUUAAAAAUACAAGGUUUAUGAUUUUCCUACUACAUCCAAAUUCUACAAGUUGCUUUUUAAAUAAUUCUANUGUUCUCUUCAAAUAAUACUUCUUAAAGCAUCAUCAAAAAAAUUCUUCAGGUUUUACUAAUGCUCCUUAUUGGUAACAAUCUCCCCCUUUUUGAUGAUGAUAAAAAAUUCACUUUUAAAAGCAACUCUGGCAUACCUGCAAUACGUACGAGCUAACAGAAAACAAGGUUAGCAAUACCUGUAUCAAUUAUUAAUUUGUAUUAUACUUCUCCCCUUAUAUUAUUCUUCUCCCCCUUAUAUUAUUCUUCUGCCCCUUUUUUAUCAUAAGCAAAAAGAUUAAAUUAAAAAGCUCCCCCUAAAUAUGAUCUCNNCCUCAAUUAAACAAUNUAUGCAUAAAACAAGAGAUCAUGUUAUUCAUAAAAGAAAGGAUUACAUAGACACCAUAAGGAGAAACAUAAAAGACAGAAAUAUAACAUAGAGAUAAGAAUAACAACCAAUCAACAAAGCACUCAGACAAAAAAAA